This is a non-coding RNA of Clostridium sp. CAG:470, 348 nucleotides long. The record is from Rfam. Lineage: Bacteria; Bacillati; Bacillota; Clostridia; Eubacteriales; Clostridiaceae.
AGAGUAAAUUGAAUGGUCGCUGGUAACUUCCGAAAGGAACUACGAGAGGAAAGUCCGGGCUCCAUAGAGCAAUGAUGCUAGAUAACGUCUAGUGUGGGUAACCAUAAGGAAAGUGCAACAGAAAAUAACCGCCCGUAUGGGUAAGGAUGAAAAGGCGAGGUAAGAGCUCACCGGUUCUAUGGUGACAUAGAAUGCUGUGUAAACCCCAUCUGGAGCAACACCUAACAAAGAAGAUUAAGUCUGCUCGACGCCUUCUUGAACUGCGUGGCUUGAGGCAUAUAGCAAUAUAUGUCCUAGAUAAAUGACUAUUUUAAAAGACAGAACCCGGCUUACAGAUUUGCUCUUUUU